CGGGCUGUAGUACAAUGGUAGUAUACGCCCUUCGGGUGGGUGAGACCCGAGUUCGAUUCUCGGCAGCCCGA
RNAcentral lists this transfer RNA (71 nucleotides) under Patescibacteria group bacterium. RNAcentral's name for it is "tRNA-Pro". It matches the Rfam family "tRNA". Rfam says of the family: Transfer RNA (tRNA) molecules are approximately 80 nucleotides in length. Their secondary structure includes four short double-helical elements and three loops (D, anti-codon, and T loops). The record is from RNAcentral.